Panthera uncia (snow leopard) is the source of this 1994-nucleotide long non-coding RNA. RefSeq lists it as uncharacterized. The record is from RefSeq and is a predicted model, not a curated record. Lineage: Eukaryota; Metazoa; Chordata; Mammalia; Carnivora; Felidae. The transcript is spliced from 4 exons.
CGCCUUUUCCGACGUUCGCGCCGGGGCUCAGGCGAGGACGUCAGCUGGGACUCAGCCAAUAGCGAGCGCCCACGUCGGGAGAAUGCCUCGUGACCGCGCGUCACCGGAGAAAAGGCUUUUCUCUUUCUUCUCGCGCUUUUUUCCCCUCCCCCACGUAGGCUUCUCGGUUUGCUCAUACGAAUUCAUUUCAUUCCCGUGCCUGAAUAAAACCGCACCUUUCUCACCUGUGCUUUAAGGUUGCAAGAAAGCCCUGUGGGCCCCUCGGCAUCUCGCACGUUUCCACAUGCCAGAGCAGAUUCUGUGACUGCGAUGCCCACUGUGAGGUAUCCCUGCGACCCCGACAUGUGUGAUUCAUAGGCACCUUGGAAAGGCCUCAAAACGCGGCUGACCUAGUGAAAUUUCACCCUUAAUGAGCUGAGGCAGGACUGGUCGAGGUGGACAUUUUAACACUUAUCUCCUCUAAUGAAGUAGAAGUAACUGUUCAACACUCCAUGGCUCUUCUGCAGAGGUCCAUCUGUGCAGAGAGAGAGACAGAGUGCGAGCAGGGGAGAGGCUGAGAAAGAGGGAGACACAGAAUCUGAAGCAGGCUCUCAGGCUCCGAGCUGUCAGCACAGAACCCCAUGCGGGGCUUGAACUCACAAACCCCAAGAUCAUGACCUGAGCCGAAGUCAGAUGCUUAAUGGAAUGAGCCACCCAGGUGCCCCUUGAAGGGCCUGUGGAGAGAAGAUGUGGUUGUACCAUGCAGGAACUGGGUACUUUGGAGUCCUUUGGCUUCGUAGCAUGCCCAUUAUUCCAAUGAGGGUCUCCAGUUGUGGUUGUCUGGUUUUGAACUGCUGUUACCUGCCCUGAACCUCUCCGUGGCCAGGCUCUAAUGAAGACCAUCUUUUUCUGAUGUAUACAAAGGUACCCUUAAGGCUUGUUUUCUGAUCUAAUAGCAAAUCCUGUGUAAGCUAGCAACAGUGACGAUCCCAUUGGGUAUACAGAUUCUGACCCUGUGUCCCAGUUUCCUAGGACUGAAAAACAAUCAAAAGAGUUAUUUUGAGUGCUCACUUUGGCAGCACAUACACUAAAAUUGGACUGAUACAGAGAGAGUUAGCAUGAUUAGUGCUUGCCAGUGGCUGGGAUGGGGGUGGGUGAAAUGGGCAAAGGGAGUCAAAAAGUACAAACUUCCCAUUAUAAAAUAAAUAAGUUGGGGAUGUAAUGUACAGCAUGGUGACUAGAGCUAAUAAUACUGUAUUGCAUAUUUAAAAGUUGUUCACAAGUUAAAUCUUAAAAAUUCUCAUCAUAAGAAAAAAAAUUCUAUAACUAUGGAUGGUGCUGGAUGUUAACCUGACUUCUGUGAUCAUUUUGCGGUAUAUACAAAUAUCCAAUCAUUAUGUUGUACACUUGAAACUAAGAUAAUGUUGUGUGUCAUUUAUACCUUAAUCAUAAAAAAAAAAAAAAAGAAUUACUUUGACAGGGGAAGAUAAGUCAGUCCUUAGUCACGCAAAUAAGACUUUUGCUCUUCCCUGAAAAUGGAGUUCUUCUGCUGGAAGCCUUUUGUGCAUCUCACACAUAUGGCCUCUUCCUCCUACUAAUUUGCCAGACUUGUCUGGAUCUGUUUGAAUUGAAGUAGCAGACCCAGUUUGAGUGCAUUGCCAGAGGUCCCUCAGGCUUCUGCAAGGCCUGCCCCACCAGUUUGACAAACAUGCUCAGGCAUACUUGAACUCCACCAUGGACAAUAGAUUUCCCGCUAUACAAAUAAAGCAGGGGAGCAGGAAAAGAAAUGGUGGUCAAGGAAGGAGAAUGAAAGGGCAUGACCUGGUGCUGCUGCCUGCCUUAGGUCCUCUUUUGAUUUGCAUUUUGGUGGUUAAUUCGGCAAUAAAAAUUGCUGUACACCCACUUGCCUGCCUUUCUUCUCUCCACAUCUUAGACCAUAAACUCUUUAGGGGUCCGGCUCCUUCCUGGCUUAGGUGUAGUGUUUACCAAAAAUGCUUAGGAAACUUUUGACAAUU